AAUCGUGAUGAUGCUAGGCAGUUUAUGAAAUAUCUCCAUCCUGCUCUGGGAGUUGAAUUACCUGAAAGAUCAUAUGGAGCUGAUUGCCGUAUUUAUGUCCCAGAGAAUCCAAAAAACAAGUUUAUCAAUGUUUAUAAUACAUUAUUUGAUGAGUUUGUUCUUGCUCAUAUUUUUGGAUGGUAGGGUAAGGCAAUAAUGAUACGAAACCAGCCCCUUCUGUGGGUGUUGUCAAUUGGCUUCGAAUUGAUGGAGUUUACUUUUCGCCACAUGUUGCCAAAUUUCAAUGAGUGCUGGUGGGAUAGUAUUAUUUUGGACAUCUU
Zingiber officinale is the source of this 320-nucleotide long non-coding RNA. RefSeq lists it as uncharacterized. Lineage: Eukaryota; Viridiplantae; Streptophyta; Magnoliopsida; Zingiberales; Zingiberaceae. The record is from RefSeq and is a predicted model, not a curated record. The transcript has 4 exons.